GGCCUGAGCGUCCUCGGUUGGACUGGGAGCUGAAAACAGCUGCGACGUGACCGUGGCUGCCGGCCGGCGACUGGCGAGUUCCCUGUAUGUGCAUUUUCCCAUGCAAAAAAGAAGCUAUGAGAAAAUUAUCAAAAAUACAAACUGAGAGUAUAGAAAUAAAGCUACUGAACCCAUGCAUCUAUUUUUGCCUCUUCCUGAAACUCUACCAAUAACAAGAUUUUUUUUUUUGUACCAGGGAUCGAACUCUGGUCCUUGCACUUGCGCAGCAGGCAACGAAACCACUGAGCUAAAUCAAAUAUCAGGAUUUUUGAAGGUAUAAACAGUUGUGAUGACACUGUCAGAGACCACCAUAAGAAAGGACAAAUACACUUUUGGCCUCUCCGCCUGUUACUCAUUAAAAACAUGAUUUGUGUUCUCUUCUGAGGCAGAACAGCUUUUGCUAAAACUCAUGACUUUUCCUUGGGCUUACAGAUGCCUAACAGGAAGUUGGAAGAGAAUGAGCUGCAUAUCUUCUCGAGAUGCUGCCUGGAAGUGAAAAAGUAGAGAAGGUACAAAACCAGCAUGCUAAUUUGAAAUAGCAUGACUCAGCAAAAGAUUUAGACGUUGUUGCCUCUUUCAUUGGGAAGGAAGUUGCUAUUUCCAUGACAAACCUGUUGAACUCUUCAAAUUGUGCAUAACACUGAUAAAAGUAGCAAGUAAAUACUAAUAUGUUAAAACGAAUAAAAUAAUAGAAAAAUUCUAAGCUUACAAAAACC
Molecule: long non-coding RNA, 755 nt
Filed under: Heterocephalus glaber (naked mole-rat)
Lineage: Eukaryota; Metazoa; Chordata; Mammalia; Rodentia; Bathyergidae
Description: lncRNA (ENSHGLG00000034898.1)
Source: RNAcentral